CUUGCCCACACAGAAGAUAAGGAACAGUUACUUGGUUUCAAGCCUCUACACCAUCACCAAGGACAGCUGGAACAGAAACAUGUUCAGCUGCAAUGUUUGGCCUGCAGGCAGUGAUCAAGCUGUCAAAACCUCGAUAUGUGUCCAGGUUCUCUGAUCAUGCAGCACCUGUUACUGUGAAACUGAGCCCUCCCAGUCCUAAGGCAAUGUUCUCCAAUAAACAAGCAGAGCUCAAAUGUGUUGUUACUGGACAGGAUAGAAGCAUUUUAUCUGAUACUAACAUCAGUUGGUACAUUAAUGGACAGCAAGUGACCAAUGGGAUAACUGAUGGUAGCAAUUCAGGAGAAAAAUACAGCACAUUAACUCGAAACCUUGCUGAAUGGAAGAAAGCCAACACAGUGAGCUGCUCUGCCACAAGAAUCGACAUGGAACCAGUAACUCAGAGUCUGACUGUCAACAGAGGAAAUGAACAGCCCAACAUUGAAGUCCAAAUUGCUCCAAAUAGCACAGACAGUGAAGUCACUCUGGUGUGUCUGGUCACCAGUCAGAGGCUGCAAGAUUACUACAUCGCCUGGUCAGAAAGUUCUGGGAAAGAUCCUGAAAAUUUCACUGAUGGGAUUAACUUACCCACACAGAAGAUAAGGAACAGUUACUUGGUUUCAAGCCUCUACACCAUCACCAAGGACAGCUGGAACAGAAACAUGUUCAGCUGCAAUGUUUGGCCUGCAGGCAGUGAUCAAGCUGUCAAACCUCGAUAUGUGUCCAGGUUCUCUGAUCAUGCAGCACCUGUUACUGUGAAACUGAGCCCUCCCAGUCCUAAGGCAAUGUUCUCCAAUAAACAAGCAGAGCUCAAAUGUGUUGUUACUGGACAGGAUAGAAGCAUUUUAUCUGAUACUAACAUCAGUUGGUACAUUAAUGGACAGCAAGUGACCAAUGGGAUAACUGAUGGUAGCAAUUCAGGAGAAAAAUACAGCACAUUAACUCGAGACCUUAAAGAAUGGAAGAAAGUCAACACAGUGAGCUGCUCUGCCACAAGAAUCGACAUGGCACCAGUAACUCAGAGUCUGACUGUCAACAGAGGAAAUGAACAGCCCAAUAUUGAAGUCCAAAUUGCUCCAAAUAGCACAGACAGUGAAGUCACUCUGGUGUGUCUGGUCACCAGUCAGAGGCUGCAAGAUUACUACAUCGCCUGGUCAGAAAGUUCUGGGAAAGAUCCUGAAAAUUUCACUGAUGGGAUUAACUUGCCCACACAGAAGAUAAGGAACAGUUACUUGGUUUCAAGCCUCUACACCAUCACCAAGGACAGCUGGAACAGAAACAUGUUCAGCUGCAAUGUUUGGCCUGCAGGCAGUGAUCAAGCUGUCAAAUCUCGAUAUGUGUCCAGGUUUUCAGAUCAUGCAGCACCUGUUACUGUGAAACUGAGCCCUCCCAGUCCUAAGGCAAUGUUCUCCAAUAAACAAGCAGAGCUCAAAUGUGUUGUUACUGGACAGGAUAGAAGCAUUUUAUCUGAUACUAAGAUCAGUUGGAACAUUAAUGGACAGCAGGUGACUAAUGGGACAAACGAUAGUGGCAAUUCAGGAGAAAAAUACAGCACAUUAACUCGAAACCUUAAUGAAUGGAAUGAAGUCAACAAAGUGAGCUGCUCUGCCACGAUCAACGACAUGACACCAGUAACUCAGAGUCUGACUGUCAACAGAGGAAUUGAAGAGCCCAAAAUUCAAGUCCUACUUCCUUCAGGGAGCACAGACAGUGAAGUCACUCUGGUGUGUCUGGUCACCAGUUCAAAGGAGCAAGAUUACUACAUCGCUUGGUCAGAAAGUUCUGGGUAUAAUUCUGGAACAUUCAUUGACGGGAUUACCUUGCCCACACAGAAGAUCAACAAUAGUUACUUGGUUUCAAGCCUUUACACCAUCAACAAGAAAAAGUGGGAGGGAACUGACCAGUUCAGCUGUAAUGUAUGGCCUGCUGGUCGUGAAAAAGCUAGCAGCCCCCAAUCUGCAUCUAAGUACUCAGGAUGUACAGGUGAAGAUUCCCAAGACUACAGGAAGUGAUGUGUUAUGUGCUUAGUAUGUUUUUGUGUAAACUUUAUGUUGUCAAAAUAUGUACUCUGUGAUGUCAUUGUUGCUGCAUCAAAAACCUGUUGUUUUUGUUGUUUUUGUCAUCUUGCUGACUGUUGAUUUGUCCUUGUCAUACUUGUUAGCAUCUUAUUGAAUGUGCUAUCUGUGCUACCUGCCCCAAAUAAAUGUUGCAUGGAGACACCU
Fundulus heteroclitus (mummichog) is the source of this 2258-nucleotide non-coding RNA. Lineage: Eukaryota; Metazoa; Chordata; Actinopteri; Cyprinodontiformes; Fundulidae. The record is from the annotation of a RefSeq genome assembly.